ACGGGAGGCAGCAGUGGGGAAUAUUGCACAAUGGGCGCAAGCCUGAUGCAGCAACGCCGCGUGAGGGAAGACGGUUUUCGGAUUGUAAACCUCUGUCUUCGGUGACGAACAAUGACGGUAGCCGAGGAGGAAGCCACGGCUAACUACGUGCCAGCAGCCGCGGUAAUACGUAGGUGGCAAGCGUUAUCCGGAAUUACUGAGUGUAAAGGGAGCGCAGGCGGGACAGCAAGUCAGCGGUGAAAUGUAUGGGCUCAACCCAUGAACUGCCGUUGAAACUGUUGUUCCUGAGUGGAGUAGAGGUAGGCGGAAUUCCGAGUGUAGCGGUGAAAUGCGUAGAUAUUCGGAGGAACACCAGUGGCGAAGGCGGCCUACUGGGCUCUAACUGACGCUGAGGCUCGAAAGUGUGGGGAGCAAACAGGAUUAGAUACCCUGGUA
This 435-nucleotide ribosomal RNA is filed under the name uncultured Clostridiales Family IV bacterium. Its description in RNAcentral is "bacterial SSU rRNA". It matches the Rfam family "Bacterial small subunit ribosomal RNA", at positions 341 to 792 of the family's 1533-position model. Lineage: Bacteria; Bacillati; Bacillota; Clostridia; Eubacteriales; Eubacteriales Family IV. Incertae Sedis. The record is from RNAcentral.